Molecule: ribosomal RNA, 133 nt
Filed under: uncultured Cenococcum
Lineage: Eukaryota; Fungi; Ascomycota; Dothideomycetes; Gloniales; Gloniaceae
Description: partial 5.8S ribosomal RNA
Rfam family: 5.8S ribosomal RNA
About the family: 5.8S ribosomal RNA (5.8S rRNA) is a component of the large subunit of the eukaryotic ribosome. It is transcribed by RNA polymerase I as part of the 45S precursor that also contains 18S and 28S rRNA.
Source: RNAcentral
AAACUUUCAACAACGGAUCUCUUGGUUCUGGCAUCGAUGAAGAACGCAGCGAAAUGCGAUAAGUAGUGUGAAUUGCAGAAUUCAGUGAAUCAUCGAAUCUUUGAACGCACAUUGCGCCCUUGGUAUCCCGGGG